AUGCCUAACGAGCAAACGAGGAAAUGCAGUAGCGGAAAGGAAUGGACCACUAAUGGACAAUGGUCCCGCGAACGAGACCCGAAUACUGACUGCGCAGGCGAAAAGAACCCCG
RNAcentral lists this long non-coding RNA (112 nucleotides) under Vicia faba (fava bean). The record is from RNAcentral. Lineage: Eukaryota; Viridiplantae; Streptophyta; Magnoliopsida; Fabales; Fabaceae.